Long non-coding RNA from Betta splendens (Siamese fighting fish), 476 nucleotides. RefSeq lists it as uncharacterized. The transcript has 2 exons. Lineage: Eukaryota; Metazoa; Chordata; Actinopteri; Anabantiformes; Osphronemidae. The record is from RefSeq and is a predicted model, not a curated record.
GGAGAGUGUGAAAGAGGGAGUGGGACGGAUGGAACUAAUCAGAAACAGAUGCGUGCACACGUGUGAUUCAGCAGUUCAGGACGGAGCAGAAGCAGCGCUACAGUAACUGGAGUCGUUCUACCUCCAUCCAACACAGACCGAGGCUCGUUUUCUUCAUCAUGAGAGAGAAGUGGUGCCGUGCGGCCAAACACAGGACUCGAUGUCUGAGUCAGCUGAUGAAUGAAUCACAGACGGCAGCAGAACAAACGAGAGGACAGUUCCUCACACGCUGCCGUAACUGUAGGAGCAGAAAAAAAAACAGAUUUCCUUCGAUGCCGUGUGACGAGGACGGAUGAGCUGAGGAAACUGGGUAUUUUCCUGCGAAUGUUCUAACCUAAAUGUUAAACAAUCUGAUUCUGAUUAAUCUGAUUUCUAAUGCACCACGUGCACAGAUGGCUGUGUGGUGUCUGGAGCCUAUAUAAAGGGGUUUAACACUU